RNAcentral lists this ribosomal RNA (631 nucleotides) under Aegialia arenaria. RNAcentral's name for it is "partial 16S large subunit ribosomal RNA". The stretch from base 380 to 538 matches the Rfam family "Bacterial large subunit ribosomal RNA", at positions 2473 to 2632 of the family's 2925-position model. Lineage: Eukaryota; Metazoa; Arthropoda; Insecta; Coleoptera; Scarabaeidae. The record is from RNAcentral.
UUUAAAGUCUAAUCUAAUCUGCCCAAUGAAUUAUUAAAUGGCCGCAGUAUUUUGACUGUGCAAAGGUAGCAUAAUAAUUAGUUUUUUAAUUGAAAACUGGAAUGAAUGAUUGAACAAAAAAAAAUCUGUCUCAAUAUAAAUUUAAAUAAAAUUUUAUUUUUAAGUUAAAAAGCUUAAAUUUUUUUAAAAGACGAGAAGACCCUAUAGAGUUUAAUAUUAAUUUUUAUAGUUUAUAUAUAUAGAAAUAAAUUAUAUUUUAUAAUUUUUAAUAUUUAAUUGGGGUGAUUAAAAAAUUAAACAAACUUUUUUUUAUUGAAAAAUCAUUUAUUUAUGAUUAUUUGAUCCAUUUAUUAUGAUUAGAAGAUUAAAUUACCUUAGGGAUAACAGCGUAAUUUUUUUUUAGAGUUCAAAUCGAUAAAAAAGUUUACGACCUCGAUGUUGGAUUAAAAUUAAUUUUUGGUGUAGAAGCUAAAUGAUUAAGUCUGUUCGACUUUUAAAAUUUUACAUGAUCUGAGUUUAAACCGGUGUAAGCCAGGUUGGUUUCUAUCUUUAAAUAGUUAAAUAUAAAUAUUUUAGUACGAAAGGACCAAGUAUUAUUUAAAUUAAUUUUAAAUUGAAUUAUAUUAAAUUA